UUGUGUGUGAUGCAGAGGAGCAGGGCCACCGAUCCUCUGUUCCUCAGCACUGGAGACAAAGACUUGAUGUUUUCACACGUUCAGCAGCUGUUAGGGGGCUUCUUGCCCUCCCGUCAUCCUCUGUAGCCCCUGGCUCCCAGGCAGGACCCAGGCAGCACCCACCGCCAAGCUUUAGGGUGUCUGCACCCAUGUGUGUCCCCUGCGGGCGGUGGGGCGGGGCGGUGGGAUGUGCCAUUCCCCCUUGCGAUGUUAUCGGUGUGAGGCAGCUGCCCGCUCCGCGCCUGGCCCUUGCUGCCAUGUGGGCCUGGGCACGCUGCCUGCGGGCUCCCCGGUGUGUGCCCGUGGGUUUGCCCCUGCUUAUCUCUCGGACUGCUCCAGCCCUUCCUCUCCACAGUUCUUCAGCGUUUUCACAGCCCCCUCUGUGGCACAGGCUUUGGGUUUGGGGGGAGCUGGCAAUGGCCCUGGCAGGGGGCACCCCACUCCCUGGCACCGGGGAGGCGUUGGGGUCACGGCACUUGCUGCAGUAUCCCCCCGAGGAGGACGGGGUGCUGUAUGUGGACUACAAGCCCCCCGCCCUGGACAGCAUCCGACUGCCCCGCUAUGUCGUUUACCUGAUGAUGGGAGCCACCCUGGUGCUGCUGGUGGUAUACGCCAUCAUGGGGCACCUCAUCAAGGACCUGAUGCACGACUUUGCUGACUGGGCGUUUGGGCCCAAGCCGGAGGAGGAGAAGGUGGUGAUGGCUAAGGGGACCGUGCCGGAGGUGGAGUGGCUGGAGGAGGAGGAGGAGGACAGGGUGCUGGCAGAGGUUAAACCGGAGCGUGAAGGCACCAGUGCCCUGCCUGGCAUGGACAUCCCGCUGGGGCUGCUCACCGCUGCCCCACGCAGCUCCAUCACUUUCGCUGACACCCCCAAGAAAAGGUUUUUCUAGGGCCGGGGGACUUGGCCCCACCACCCCCAGGACCUCUCAGCCAUGCCUGGCCACUGGGUCACAGCACGGCCCCUGGCCCCUGACUGGGGUGCAGGGGUAAUGCUGCCUGGUGCUGGCACGUGGCUUCACCCGUCCUCAGCACAACCCCACACGCUUCUCUCGGGGCUGCUCUUGCUGACCCCCAAUAAAGCAGCCUGCUCCAGCCCCGCUCGCUUGCCC
This 1148-nucleotide long non-coding RNA is filed under the name Athene cunicularia (burrowing owl). RNAcentral's name for it is "lncRNA (ENSACUG00000012273.1)". Lineage: Eukaryota; Metazoa; Chordata; Aves; Strigiformes; Strigidae. The record is from RNAcentral.